This is an RNA transcript of Sebastes umbrosus (honeycomb rockfish), 1276 nucleotides long. It is a transcript of the gene named claudin-34-like, with no coding region annotated. The transcript has 3 exons. NCBI's taxonomy places the organism in Eukaryota, Metazoa, Chordata, Actinopteri, Perciformes, Sebastidae. The record is from RefSeq and is a predicted model, not a curated record.
UGACGGGAAACUGUAUCUAGGUUAUUGGUAGGAAGAAGAGGAAGUGUCGUGCUGCGUCUGUGACUAAAAAGACCUUCCUGUUCAGGUUUUCAGUCUGUUUCUGGUCUCAGAGUUUGAAGGCGGCUCGGCUCAAAAAAACAGCACUCAGAGGGAGCUGCAGGUGCUUGUUUGGUAACCCAGGUGACAAAGGAGCAUCAGAGGACCUGAGAGCGUGAAAAAGAGGAAGAGGGGAUGAGUUGCAGCCACACAGAGAGAGAGAGAGAGAGCUCUCUUGCUGGAUUUGAAUUCUGAAGUUACAACAGAGAGGUCAAGCUUCCACCUGGUUUUGAUCUCCUGAUGAUGCCCAGUCUGGGUGGGACCAGGACUUUCUUGGUAACCUGACGCUCUAUCGUGGCUCCACUGCCAUGACCUACCUGGCUCACACCGCCCACGCCCAGCUCAGUGCCCUCUGGCUGGGCUGCGUGGGCUGGAUGCUCACCGCCGUGGCCCUUGGACUCAUCCAGUGGAGGGUGUGGCAGGUGUCUGACAGGGAGGUCAUCAGCUCCGGGGUGGCGUGGGUGGGCGUCUGGCGGGCCUGCUUCAACAGCCACACCCUUGUGAGCCCUGGCUUUAGGGUCAUGCACUGCAGGUACAUCAGCCUGACCGAGGCCUUCACGCCACCAGAGAUCGUGGCAGGUCAGGUUCUCAUGCUCCUGUCUCUGCUCGUGGGGCUUUGUGGGAACGCUGGCGGUGUUUAUGCCUUGAGGAACGUCUACUUUGGGAUGGAGAAGAACUUCCAAAUCCGCUUGGCAUUCUUCACCACCGGUGCGCUGUGCCUGUCGGCCGCCGUGAUGUCACUCAUACCUCUCCUGUGGAACCUGAGCUCGGUGGUGACCAAUCAGACCAUAAAGUUCCCCCCGGAGUUUAAAAUGCCCAAGGCUCCCGAUUCUCAACAUGUGGGGUGUGGCAUCGGGGUCGGGAUGGUGGGGUCAGUCCUCAUGGUUGUCUCUGGGAUUAUGUUCUGUAUGUACAGGUUACCAGUGAGGUCACGGCACCUGGACGGGUCAUUACCUGCACAAUCAGUGACUGACAGCAGGGGGGCUUUAACAAGCACCGGGGGGAAAGAGAACCCAGCAUUUGAGUCUCAUGAACACUUGUGAUUAGUCUGUUUAACACACUCAUGUACCUGAACUCACAGAUUAGGAAACUAAUGACAACUUUAACAUAUGAAGAGUUCCAUUUGCAAAUUGAGAUUGAAUUGAAGAAAGAAAAGUAAAAAAGGAACUUUAUAAAUGAA